This 700-nucleotide long non-coding RNA is filed under the name Ananas comosus (pineapple). RNAcentral's name for it is "long non-coding RNA (ACOM_LNC019916)". The record is from RNAcentral. Lineage: Eukaryota; Viridiplantae; Streptophyta; Magnoliopsida; Poales; Bromeliaceae.
AACUUAGUAGUCUAACUUUGUUCCGGUUUUGGUUAAUGUGAACGUUGACAUCGAUUCGUUCCAAAUUUACACUCUCGGGGCAUAAUAGAAAGCUUUUACUCCUUGUUCGAUAGAAUGAGAAAAAGUACUCGUUGCAAAGUUAUACUGUUAUGGCGCAACUGAGUAGUCUAACUUUGUUCCGGUUUUGGUUCUUGUGAACGUUUAUAUCGAUUCGUUCCAAAUAUACACUCUCGGGGCAUAAUAGAAAGCUUUUACUCCUUGUUCGAUAGAAUGAGAAAAAGUACUCGUUGCAAAGUUAUACUGUUAUGGGGCAACUGAGUAGUCUAAAGUUGUUCCGGUUUUGGUUCUUGUGAACGUUGACAUCGAUUCGUACCAAAUUUACACUCUCGGGGUAUAAUAGAACAAUAUAAUUAGGUUUUGCUCUUUGUUCGAUUGAAUGAGAAAAAGUACUAGUUGCAAAGUUAUACUGUUAGGGCUCAACUGGGUAGUCUAACUUUGUUCCGAUUUUGGUUCUUGUGAACGUUUAUAUCGAUUCGUUUCAAAUUUACACACUCGGGGCAUAAUAGAAAGCUUUUACUCCUUGUUCGAUAGAAUGAGAAAAAGUACUCGUUGCAAAGUUAUACUGUUAUGGCGCAACUGAGUAGUCUAAUGUUGUUCCGAUUUUGGUUCUUGUGAACGUUGACAUUGAUUCGUUCCAAAU